Molecule: long non-coding RNA, 929 nt
Filed under: Equus caballus (horse)
Lineage: Eukaryota; Metazoa; Chordata; Mammalia; Perissodactyla; Equidae
Description: lncRNA (ENSECAG00000051707.1)
Source: RNAcentral
CCUUCCACUUCAGCCCUUAAACCUGGGCUGACCCACUCCAGGAUGGUGAGGUAAAUAACUCCGCUGACACUCUCCAGUCAACCUGCUAACGCAAAGAACAUGCACCAGCAUUCUAGACAACAGCCCUAGACCGCGCCGCUUGCCCUCCUCUUCACUGCGGUCCACAGCCAGUUUUGACUUCUCCAGUCAGAUCCUGGCUCUGAGCCCUUCCUUCACUCCCACAGUUGGGCAGACCUGAUUCUCCGUCACUUUCCCAGACAGUUCCUGGUUCAGCUUGUUUCUUUGUUUCUGGCCCCGAGAGGAAAAUGUCCUGCUCUAAACCAACUUCUCUGGAACCCACUGGCAGGAUGUGACCUUGGGCAUACUGCUACUUUCCCCUUUCCCUGGACCUCACUUCUAUUCCUUCUUGUAAGUAUUUUUCUUUCACUGACAUACAGUGAUCCUGAGAUCAAAUAGCUCUAUCACACAGUUUUAUUUAGAUACAAAUGGAUUUCUGAUAAAGGAGUCAGGUCACUUUGCCCAUAAAGUUAUAUAAAUGGUAAACAAAACAGUAAAUAAAUGUUAUGUGAUUUUAUCCAAGCACCUGCUCCUGCUUCUGGCAGAGCUGAGACAGCAGAUAUGCCAUUUGUCUGGAGCUCUUUAGCUUCACUGCACAAUGUAGUCAUUCAACAAAUAUUAUUGUGUAUCUAUAGGGGGUGCUGUGCUAUGCUCUGAGAACUCAGUGAUGGACAAGACAUAUGUGAUCCUCAUCCUCUGCAAUCACAAUAUAAUGGCAGAGAGUGACAAUUGAAUCAUUUAGAUACUAAGUAGAUUUCGUUCAAUAUAAAUAGAAAUAUUUUGACAAUUCAAGCUUAAUAACAGCAUUUCAAUAGCUGCUACCUAUUGGUGCCUGUGAUAUGUCAGACACCAUGCUAGAUGCUUUAUGUAUU